RNAcentral lists this ribosomal RNA (253 nucleotides) under uncultured bacterium. Its description in RNAcentral is "partial 16S ribosomal RNA". It matches the Rfam family "Bacterial small subunit ribosomal RNA", at positions 524 to 776 of the family's 1533-position model. The record is from RNAcentral.
UACGUAGGGUGCAAGCAUUAAUCGGAUUUAUUGGGCGUAAAGGGCGCGUAGGCGGUGGGACAAGUCAGAUGUGAAAUCCCGGAGCUCAACUCCGGAACAGCAUUUGAAACUAUCCCGCUAGAGGGUAGGCGGAGAAAACGGAAUUCCACAAGUAGCGGUGAAAUGCGUAGAUAUGUGGAAGAACACCGGUGGCGAAAGCGGUUUUCUAGCUUAUACCUGACGCUGAGGCGCGAAAGCAAGGGGAUCAAACAGG